CCAGGGAAGGGGAAAACUCGGAUAAAGGAGAACAAUGGUACUACCUUAAAAUGCAUAAUUCUUGACAUGACAGCUGUGUCGGCGAUAGACACAAGCGGGCUUGAAGCGGUGUUUGCACUUAGGAGGAGGCUCGAGAAGCAAUCACUUCAGCUUGCACUGGUGAAUCCUGUGGGGACUGAUGGAAAAGCUACACAAGUCCAAG
Arabidopsis lyrata subsp. lyrata is the source of this 202-nucleotide long non-coding RNA. RefSeq lists it as uncharacterized. The transcript is spliced from 3 exons. NCBI's taxonomy places the organism in Eukaryota, Viridiplantae, Streptophyta, Magnoliopsida, Brassicales, Brassicaceae. The record is from RefSeq and is a predicted model, not a curated record.